Molecule: ribosomal RNA, 119 nt
Filed under: Gossypium raimondii (Peruvian cotton)
Lineage: Eukaryota; Viridiplantae; Streptophyta; Magnoliopsida; Malvales; Malvaceae
Source: RNAcentral
GGGUGCGAUCAUACCGGCACUAAUGCACCGGAUCCCAUCAGAACUCCGCAGCUAAGCGUGCCUGGGCGAGAGUAGUACUAGGAUGGGUGACCUCCUGGGAAGUCCUCGUGCUGCACCCC